Long non-coding RNA from Physella acuta, 1883 nucleotides. RefSeq lists it as uncharacterized. The record is from RefSeq and is a predicted model, not a curated record. Lineage: Eukaryota; Metazoa; Mollusca; Gastropoda; Physidae.
CUAGGCCAUAGGGUAAUCUCACGAUAUAUCGUCGGAAAUUAUCCUAUAGAAUCUAAUUUGGCUUUGGGAUAAAAUACUCAAAAAUAAAUGGUCUUACUUAACACUUAAAACAACCUGAACUAAACGCUAGGCUAGUCUUAUAAUUUAAUUAAUAAUUUAGUAAGGCAAUAUUCAAUAUAUAUGACAUGUGAGGCCUACUACUGGAUCUAAAUAUAUAUUAAUAAUGUAUGCUUGAUGUAUGUAAACUGUAAACUAUGUAGCCUAGUUUAAAAAAUAUCUGUUUAAUGAAUUUUGAAAGAAUGAGUACAACACAACCACCUGCUACCAGUUGUGUUUCUAAAAACUUCCUUCCAAAUGAGAAAAAUACUGAAAGUGAACCUUGUAUUCGAACUGAACUGCAUGUGGAAGCCAAACAACAUGGAACAGUCAUCAUUCAUACUGCAGACUUGUCACCUGUAAUAGAGAUAAAGGCAUUGAAAGAAGAUGUUGCAAAUAUAAUAAAUAUCAAAAGUUCUGAGCAGCAAUGGGCCUACAUGUGUAAUAUACUAGAUGACAAUUUGACUUUGGCGCAUUAUUUUCCAUCACUACCAAAGAAUUCAGAGCUUAUUAAGUUGUCAGUAAAAGCAAUAAACCCACAAAAAUGAUCUGAAGAAAUGUGUUUUAUAUUGAUUGCUAUUUGCAACAAUGAUGAGCGCUGCUAAGUUAUAAGUUAUUUGUGAGCUUAAGAUGCAUCAAGCUUAAGACAAGUAGUCAGAGAAAUGUCGUAGAACAUGACUUAUCAAGGAAAAUCAUGAGGGAUUUGGAAUUUCGAUCUAGCUCUGCUCCAGAUAUUUUUUGCUACCUCCAGCUCUGCACAUGCUAGUAUUAAUUUUUUUAAAUGUGAGCUAUGUACAAACAUCAGCAGCCUUACUUUAAUCAUUUAAGUUUUAUGUGAUCUGUUUCGUUGCUGGUGUUAGUGCAUUUUGUUGUCUAACAUUGAGUAAAACAGUGUAAUUUUUUUAAAAUUUAGCUGGUCACAUUUAGUCUUACUGCUGUCUGUGUUUAGUGUUAGACGUUCAUACAGGAACAACAGAUAGUGUUCGUAUCUUGUAAUCGUGUAAAUUUGUUUUAUUAAACUUGUAAAGCAAGUCUGUCAAGUAAGCAGGACUUUGGCAUUGGUCAAGUUCCUUAGUUCUUAACAGAAGUUGUAUUUUAAUACAGUGCUGAGUUAAAGAAUUAGGGCCUAAUUAAUAAUUUUUAUAAAGCUCACAUGCACCUACUGAUAGCCUAAACACCAGUUUUCUUGAGCUGCUUUUACUUUUAGACAUUUACCAGGGACACACACACACACUCUGAAAAGAUACCUAGAAGAAACUGCAUGGUAUAAAUUUCUUGAACUUUUACCAUGCCCAUCGAAUGCACCCAUGGUUUCCAGCCAGUGCUCCCCAUGGCAGGUACCGUACACUUUGGGAAACUCAGCUUUAGCGUUUCCGUUAUUCAGAACAACUUUUAUGGAUAUUUUCUUUCUUUUUACUACUUUUACAAGCUUUCAUUUAACUCACUUCCUCGUCUGUCUGUCUAGAUCGAAACGCCUGAGCGAAAUUUCGGACACGUCUGACAGACUUGUUUCAACAUUGGCACGUGGGUCAAGACAAUGCAACAUGACAUUAAAUUUGACUUCAUAGGUUGCCUGAUUUAUUUUUUUAUGAAUUAAUAAAACUUUCGUCCAAAUUAGUAGGCUGCUCAUCAAACUAUUCCGCACUAUUAGACACGCGUCAUCACGUUCAAUAGGUGUGCAAUGGUUUUUAGACAUGCAACUCUAUUGUAAAUAAAACAUGUAAAGUACUUAAAAUUUUUUUCAUAAAAAACGUUUUAAUAACAAACUUUCAUGUAAUAAUGCACUA